This 301-nucleotide ribosomal RNA is filed under the name uncultured bacterium. Its description in RNAcentral is "partial 16S ribosomal RNA". It matches the Rfam family "Bacterial small subunit ribosomal RNA", at positions 509 to 807 of the family's 1533-position model. The record is from RNAcentral.
CAGUAGCCGCGGGAAUACGAAGGGGGCUAGCGUUGCUCGGAAUGACUGGGCGUAAAGGGCGCGUAGGCGGAUUGUUUAGUUAGGCGUGAAAUUCCUGGGCUUAACCUGGGGACUGCGCUUAAUACAGGCAGUCUAGAGUGAGGAAGAGGGUUGUGGAAUUCCCAGUGUAGAGGUGAAAUUCGUAGAUAUUGGGAAGAACACCGGUGGCGAAGGCGGCAACCUGGUCCUUGACUGACGCUGAGGCGCGAAAGCGCGGGGAGCAAACAGGAUUAGAUACCCCUGUAGUCCCUGUCUCUUAUAC